AAAGUUCGGGCAUGUGCUAUACAUGCAGUCGAACGCGUUGGCCCAAUUGAUUGAUGGUGCUUGCACCUGAUUGAUUUUGGUUGCCAACGAGUGGCGGACGGGUGAGUAACACGUAGGUAACCUGCCCAGAAGCGGGGGACAACAUUUGGAAACAGAUGCUAAUACCGCAUAACAGCGUUGUUCGCAUGAACAACGCUUAAAAGAUGGCUUCUCGCUAUCACUUCUGGAUGGACCUGCGGUGCAUUAGCUUGUUGGUGGGGUAACGGCCUACCAAGGCGAUGAUGCAUAGCCGAGUUGAGAGACUGAUCGGCCACAAUGGGACUGAGACACGGCCCAUACUCCUACGGGAGGCAGCAGUAGGGAAUCUUCCACAAUGGGCGCAAGCCUGAUGGAGCAACACCGCGUGAGUGAAGAAGGGUUUCGGCUCGUAAAGCUCUGUUGUUAAAGAAGAACACGUAUGAGAGUAACUGUUCAUACGUUGACGGUAUUUAACCAGAAAGUCACGGCUAACUACGUGCCAGCAGCCGCGGUAAUACGUAGGUGGCAAGCGUUAUCCGGAUUUAUUGGGCGUAAAGAGAGUGCAGGCGGUUUUCUAAGUCUGAUGUGAAAGCCUUCGGCUUAACCGGAGAAGUGCAUCGGAAACUGGAUAACUUGAGUGCAGAAGAGGGUAGUGGAACUCCAUGUGUAGCGGUGGAAUGCGUAGAUAUAUGGAAGAACACCAGUGGCGAAGGCGGCUACCUGGUCUGCAACUGACGCUGAGACUCGAAAGCAUGGGUAGCGAACAGGAUUAGAUACCCUGGUAGUCCAUGCCGUAAACGAUGAGUGCUAGGUGUUGGAGGGUUUCCGCCCUUCAGUGCCGGAGCUAACGCAUUAAGCACUCCGCCUGGGGGAGUACGACCGCAAGGUUGAAA
Molecule: ribosomal RNA, 911 nt
Filed under: Limosilactobacillus fermentum
Lineage: Bacteria; Bacillati; Bacillota; Bacilli; Lactobacillales; Lactobacillaceae
Description: bacterial SSU rRNA
Rfam family: Bacterial small subunit ribosomal RNA
Source: RNAcentral